AUUGAACGCUGGCGGAAUGCUUUACACAUGCAAGUCGAACGGCAGCACGGGGGCAACCCUGGUGGCGAGUGGCGAACGGGUGAGUAAUGCAUCGGAACGUGCCCAGUCGUGGGGGAUAACGUAGCGAAAGUUACGCUAAUACCGCAUACGAUCUACGGAUGACGGCGGGGGACCGUAAGGCCUCGCCCGAUUGGAGCGGCCGAUGUCAGAUUAGGUAGUUGGUGAGGUAAAGGCUCACCAAGCCGACGAUCUGUAGCUGGUCUGAGAGGACGACCAGCCACACUGGGACUGAGACACGGCCCAGACUCCUACGGGAGACAGCAGUGGGGAAUUUUGGACAAUGGGCGCAAGCCUGAUCCAGCCAUUCCGCGUGCAGGACGAAGGCCUUCGGGUUGUAAACUGCUUUUGUACGGAACGAAAAGGCUCUGGUUAAUACCUGGGGCUCAUGACGGUACCGUAAGAAUAAGCACCGGCUAACUACGUGCCAGCCGCCGCCGUAA
RNAcentral lists this ribosomal RNA (500 nucleotides) under uncultured bacterium. Its description in RNAcentral is "partial 16S ribosomal RNA". It matches the Rfam family "Bacterial small subunit ribosomal RNA", at positions 30 to 523 of the family's 1533-position model. The record is from RNAcentral.